RNAcentral lists this ribosomal RNA (1489 nucleotides) under metagenome. RNAcentral's name for it is "bacterial SSU rRNA". It matches the Rfam family "Bacterial small subunit ribosomal RNA". The record is from RNAcentral.
GAGUUUGAUCAUGGCUCAGAUUGAACGCUGGCGGCAGGCCUAACACAUGCAAGUCGAACGGUAACAGGAAGCAGCUUGCUGCUUCGCUGACGAGUGGCGGACGGGUGAGUAAUGUCUGGGAAGCUGCCUGAUGGAGGGGGAUAACUACUGGAAACGGUAGCUAAUACCGCAUAAUGUCGCAAGACCAAAGAGGGGGACCUUCGGGCCUCUUGCCAUCGGAUGUGCCCAGAUGGGAUUAGCUUGUUGGUGGGGUAACGGCUCACCAAGGCGACGAUCCCUAGCUGGUCUGAGAGGAUGACCAGCCACACUGGAACUGAGACACGGUCCAGACUCCCACGGGAGGCAGCAGUGGGGAAUAUUGCACAAUGGGCGCAAGCCUGAUGCAGCCAUGCCGCGUGUAUGAAGAAGGCCUUCGGGUUGUAAAGUACUUUCAGCGGGGAGGAAGGGAGUAAAGUUAAUACCUUUGCUCAUUGACGUUACCCGCAGAAGAAGCACCGGCUAACUCCGUGCCAGCAGCCGCGGUAAUACGGAGGGUGCAAGCGUUAAUCGGAAUUACUGGGCGUAAAGCGCACGCAGGCGGUUUGUUAAGUCAGAUGUGAAAUCCCCGGGCUCAACCUGGGAACUGCAUCUGAUACUGGCAAGCUUGAGUCUCGUAGAGGGGGGUAGAAUUCCAGGUGUAGCGGUGAAAUGCGUAGAGAUCUGGAGGAAUACCGGUGGCGAAGGCGGCCCCCUGGACGAAGACUGACGCUCAGGUGCGAAAGCGUGGGGAGCAAACAGGAUUAGAUACCCUGGUAGUCCACGCCGUAAACGAUGUCGACUUGGAGGUUGUGCCCUUGAGGCGUGGCUUCCGGAGCUAACGCGUUAAGUCGACCGCCUGGGGAGUACGGCCGCAAGGUUAAAACUCAAAUGAAUUGACGGGGGCCCGCACAAGCGGUGGAGCAUGUGGUUUAAUUCGAUGCAACGCGAAGAACCUUACCUGGUCUUGACAUCCACGGAAGUUUUCAGAGAUGAGAAUGUGCCUUCGGGAACCGUGAGACAGGUGCUGCAUGGCUGUCGUCAGCUCGUGUUGUGAAAUGUUGGGUUAAGUCCCGCAACGAGCGCAACCCUUAUCCUUUGUUGCCAGCGGUCCGGCCGGGAACUCAAAGGAGACUGCCAGUGAUAAACUGGAGGAAGGUGGGGAUGACGUCAAGUCAUCAUGGCCCUUACGACCAGGGCUACACACGUGCUACAAUGGCGCAUACAAAGAGAAGCGACCUCGCGAGAGCAAGCGGACCUCAUAAAGUGCGUCGUAGUCCGGAUUGGAGUCUGCAACUCGACUCCAUGAAGUCGGAAUCGCUAGUAAUCGUGGAUCAGAAUGCCACGGUGAAUACGUUCCCGGGCCUUGUACACACCGCCCGUCACACCAUGGGAGUGGGUUGCAAAAGAAGUAGGUAGCUUAACCUUCGGGAGGGCGCUUACCACUUUGUGAUUCAUGACUGGGGUGAAGUCU